ACGCUGGCGGCAGGCUUAACACAUGCAAGUCGAGCGAUCCCUUCGGGGAUAGCGGCGGACGGGUGAGUAACGCGUGGGAACGUGCCCUUCACUACGGAAUAGCCCAUGGAAACGUGGAUUAAUACCGUAUACGCCCUUCGGGGGAAAGAAUUUCGGUGAAGGAUCGGCCCGCGUCUGAUUAGGUAGUUGGUGGGGUAAUGGCCUACCAAGCCGACGAUCAGUAGCUGGUUUUAGAGGAUGAUCAGCCACACUGGGACUGAGACACGGCCCAGACUCCUACGGGAGGCAGCAGUGGGGAAUCUUAGACAAUGGGGGCAACCCUGAUCUAGCCAUGCCGCGUGAGUGAUGAAGGUCUUAGGAUCGUAAAGCUCUUUCGCCUGUGAUGAUAAUGACAGUAGCAGGUAAAGAAACCCCGGCUAACUCCGUGCCAGCAGCCGCGGUAAUACGGAGGGGGUUAGCGUUGUUCGGAAUUACUGGGCGUAAAGCGCGCGUAGGCGGACUGGAAAGUUGGGGGUGAAAUCCCGGGGCUCAACCCCGGAACUGCCUUCAAAACUAUCAGUCUAGAGUUCGAGAGAGGUGAGUGGAAUUGCGAGUGUAGAG
RNAcentral lists this ribosomal RNA (600 nucleotides) under Roseivivax sp. Y5. RNAcentral's name for it is "bacterial SSU rRNA". It matches the Rfam family "Bacterial small subunit ribosomal RNA", at positions 33 to 680 of the family's 1533-position model. The record is from RNAcentral. Lineage: Bacteria; Pseudomonadati; Pseudomonadota; Alphaproteobacteria; Rhodobacterales; Roseobacteraceae.